RNAcentral lists this ribosomal RNA (356 nucleotides) under Kamoharaia megastoma. RNAcentral describes it as "partial 12S ribosomal RNA". It matches the Rfam family "Bacterial small subunit ribosomal RNA", at positions 837 to 1361 of the family's 1533-position model. Lineage: Eukaryota; Metazoa; Chordata; Actinopteri; Pleuronectiformes; Bothidae. The record is from RNAcentral.
AAACAUAGAUCGAAUUUAACCAAUUUUAUCCGCCUGGGAAUUACGGACACUAGUCUGAAAACCAAAGGACUUGGCGGUGCUUCAUAUCCACCUAGAGGAGCCUGUUCUGUAACCGAUGAUCCCCGUUAAACCUCACCCCCCCUUGCUCCGUCCCGCCUAUAUACCGCCGCCGUCAGCUUACCCCGAGAGGGAUUAAUCGUAGGCAAAAUUGGCACUGCCCAAAACGUCAGGUCAAGGUGUAGCGAAUGGGGGGGGCAGAAAUGGGCUACAUUUGCUUGCUCUAAGCAAACACGGAUGUCUUCACUGAAAAGCGAGACUGAAGGAGGAUUUAGCAGUAAGUGGGAACAGAGUGCCCG